UUGGGUAGAAGCGGUGAGAAUUAGAGGAAUCGAGAAUACUAGUGGUAUUAAUUUGCAGAGAUGGAGAUCCUACCUAACGCUACGCCUAUCUGUCAUCUGUCGGCCACUCACAGCGUCACACCACGCACUUAAAUCAAUUAUUUAUAUCCAUAUCUCUCUCUCAUCAAUCCAUCUGCACCACAGGAAAAACAAACCAUGGCCGGCCGCCACCAUAACACCCGCAGAGAAGAAGAACACAAUCCGCCGCCGCCGCAAGUUCAUCACACCGGGCCUGCCCCACCAGUCCCCAAUCCUCAAGUUCAUCACACCUCCCAUACCUCACAUUCUCCCGCCCCACCUCAAGUCCCCAGCCACUCUCCCGCCCCACCGCACGUCCCCAGCCACUCUCCCGCCCCACCUCAAGUCUCCAGCCACUCUCCGGCAGCGGCGGCGCCCCAUCAUGCUCCGGCGGCGUCCACCCACAACGAGCUGGCCAAUAAACCCUCUGUUAGGGUGUAUUGUAAGGCUGAGCCCAAUUUCUCCUUGACAAUUCGUGAUGGCAAAGUUGUUCUGGCGCACUCCAAUUCCGCCG
This 571-nucleotide long non-coding RNA is filed under the name Salvia miltiorrhiza (redroot sage). RNAcentral describes it as "long non-coding RNA (SMIL_LNC006066)". Lineage: Eukaryota; Viridiplantae; Streptophyta; Magnoliopsida; Lamiales; Lamiaceae. The record is from RNAcentral.